CUUGCCCGCUGGCGGCAGGCCUAACACAUGCAAGUCGAGCGGAUGAAGGGAGCUUGCUCCUGGAUUCAGCGGCGGACGGGUGAGUAAUGACUAGGAAUCUGCCUGGUAGUGGGGGAUAACGUACGGAAACGGACGCUAAUACAGCAUACGUCCUGAGGGAGAAAGUGGGGGAUCAUCGGACAUCGAGCUAUCAGCUGAGCCUAGGUCGGAUUAGCUAGUUGGUGGGGUAAAGGCCUACCAAGGCGACGAUCCGUAACUGGUCUGAGAGGAUGAUCAGUCACACUGGAACUGAGACACGGUCCAGACUCCUACGGGAGGCAGCAGUGGGGAAUAUUGGACAAUGGGCGAAAGCCUGAUCCAGCCAUGCCGCGUGUGUGAAGAAGGUCUUCGGAUUGUAAAGCACUUUAAGUUGGGAGGAAGGGCAGUAAGUGAAUACCUUGCUGUUUUGACGGUACCAACAGAAUAAGCACCGGCUAACUUCGUG
RNAcentral lists this ribosomal RNA (484 nucleotides) under uncultured bacterium. RNAcentral's name for it is "partial 16S ribosomal RNA". It matches the Rfam family "Bacterial small subunit ribosomal RNA", at positions 34 to 507 of the family's 1533-position model. The record is from RNAcentral.